CUCAACAAGUUUCAAUCAUCAUACGUGUCAUAAGUGAAGUUAUCACUUUCCAUAAGAUCGUCUCAUGAUCUUUCAUGCUAUCGUUCUUUUCAUACUUUUGAUCAUGGCACAAAGCAAAGCCCUUGACUAAGAAACUCUUUUUUAUAUAGCUCGUAAGCUCGAAUACAUCGGGGGAGAGACUAAAGCAAAAGACUCAAACUAAAAACUAAA
This 210-nucleotide long non-coding RNA is filed under the name Hordeum vulgare. RNAcentral describes it as "long non-coding RNA (HVUL_LNC002526)". Lineage: Eukaryota; Viridiplantae; Streptophyta; Magnoliopsida; Poales; Poaceae. The record is from RNAcentral.